Molecule: non-coding RNA, 204 nt
Organism: Vicia faba (fava bean)
Lineage: Eukaryota; Viridiplantae; Streptophyta; Magnoliopsida; Fabales; Fabaceae
Source: the annotation of a GenBank genome assembly
AUGUCAACCGGAGAUUCACGAAAUAGCAUAGUAGAGACAGUGCGGAACAAGCUGCAUAGUUGGUUUCUUCAGAAAGAUGCAGAAUUGGGUGAUGAUUGUGUGGCAGUACUGCUGAAACUUUCACAGUUGCAUUGGAUAACCAAGAGCAUGAACCGAUGUCAUUUUGGCAGCAAUAUUGGAUGGUUCAGAACGGGCUACACAUAG